RNAcentral lists this ribosomal RNA (263 nucleotides) under uncultured bacterium. Its description in RNAcentral is "partial 16S ribosomal RNA". It matches the Rfam family "Bacterial small subunit ribosomal RNA", at positions 335 to 615 of the family's 1533-position model. The record is from RNAcentral.
GUACCUACGGGAGGCAGCAGUGGGGGAUAUUGCACAAUGGGGGGAACCCUGAUGCAGCGACGCCGCGUGGGUGAAGAAGCGCCUCGGCGCGUAAAGCCCUGUCGGCAGGGAAGAAAAUGACGGUACCUGAAGAAGAAGCCCCGGCUAACUACGUGCCAGCAGCCGCGGUAAUACGUAGGUGGCAAGCGUUAUCCGGAUUUAUUGGGUGUAAAGGGCGUGUAGGCGGGAAGGCAAGUCAGAUGUGAAAACUAUGGGCUCAACCC